GCGGCUAUAGUUCAAUGGUAGAACACCGGUUUGUGGUACCGGACACGAGGGUUCAAUUCCCUCUAGCCGCCCCA
Molecule: transfer RNA, 74 nt
Filed under: bacterium
Lineage: Bacteria
Also listed under: 1 other name
Description: tRNA-His
Rfam family: tRNA
About the family: Transfer RNA (tRNA) molecules are approximately 80 nucleotides in length. Their secondary structure includes four short double-helical elements and three loops (D, anti-codon, and T loops). Further hydrogen bonds mediate the characteristic L-shaped molecular structure. tRNAs have two regions of fundamental functional importance: the anti-codon, which is responsible for specific mRNA codon recognition, and the 3' end, to which the tRNAs corresponding amino acid is attached (by aminoacyl-tRNA synthetases). tRNAs cope with the degeneracy of the genetic code in two manners: having more than one tRNA (with a specific anti-codon) for a particular amino acid; and 'wobble' base-pairing, i.e. permitting non-standard base-pairing at the 3rd anti-codon position.
Source: RNAcentral